Corvus moneduloides (New Caledonian crow) is the source of this 183-nucleotide small nuclear RNA. Its record names the gene U2. It matches the Rfam family "U2 spliceosomal RNA". From Rfam's summary of the family: U2 is a small nuclear RNA (snRNA) component of the spliceosome (involved in pre-mRNA splicing). Complementary binding between U2 snRNA (in an area lying towards the 5' end but 3' to hairpin I) and the branchpoint sequence (BPS) of the intron results the bulging out of an unpaired adenosine, on the BPS, which initiates a nucleophilic attack at the intronic 5' splice site, thus starting the first of two transesterification reactions that mediate splicing. The record is from Ensembl. Lineage: Eukaryota; Metazoa; Chordata; Aves; Passeriformes; Corvidae.
UUUGGUCUGCUGAUGUUGGCCAAGUGUAGUAUCUUGUUCUUCAAAGUUUAAUAUCUGAUAUGCCCUUGAUGAGAGGAUUUUAUAUUAAACAGACCUUAGGGCAUGGGAGUUAGACCUGGAACUUGUUUUCUGCUUCAUGCAUUCCCCCAGUACUGCAGUGACUCUGGGAAUGGUGCGCUGAUA